This 294-nucleotide long non-coding RNA is filed under the name Bos taurus (domestic cattle). RNAcentral's name for it is "long non-coding RNA NONBTAT008950". The record is from RNAcentral. Lineage: Eukaryota; Metazoa; Chordata; Mammalia; Artiodactyla; Bovidae.
AGCCUUGACACGGUGCCUUAUCUCCCAGCAACACCGCCUCAGCCCCCCGGGUGUGUUCCCACCCUUUCCUCCUGUAACCAAAACCCUCGAUGCCCAUAGAGGGUCUUAUUUAUAAACUAUAUAAAUACCCUUAGUGGGCCCCGGACCAAGUAGCUGCUCAGAUUGCCCUUUCUAAUCCUACAUGUCAAGCGAUCCUGUGAUUUGUAGUGUUUACUGCGGAGUUAUUUAAAGAUUUUGGAAUAAAUAUACAAACUACCAUUGUGAAAUAAAGGUGUAAAUAAAUUGUAUAUUUUG